UACACAGUAAAUACAAGUGUACAAUAUUGAAACAUUCAAACGUAGGUACUUAUCUUUCCCAAUAUAUUCCCUAAUUUUAGUGAAGACUGAUUCAAAUUCCCCAUAUUUUGCUAAAAUAACUCAUUCAAAUCGAAAAGAUUUAUUCAAAUAUGCAGGAAAUCAUAAAUACUAAUGAGUUCCUCUUCUCUAUUUCCUCGAAACCAUAAAUACUUAUUCAAUAUGCUGCAGAAAGGGGAAAGACACAAUUGAUGAAUUCCCCUUUUGUAUUUCCUCGCAACCAAAGAUGCUCAAUAACCUUAAUCCCACAUCUAUUCUCAUUAAACUUUCUCUAAUCAGACUAUUAGGGUUUUUGUGAAUGUCACGGGCAUCAACAAGGCUUUCAUGCUUGCUAUACUCUGAUUCGUAAUCUGAUAUGCCUCUGUCAUUUGCCAAAUAUGACUCCUUCAGAUGCUCUCCACUCUUCGGUUCCAUCUACAUCAGCCCUCAUAUGCGCACAUAUGUCCAACAUAACGGUAAACCUCUUAUCUAUGAUGUCUUUUGACUAUCUUGACCUCCAUCAUAUGAACUUCAUCGAUUUUCAUCAUAAGGUCCUAAACCAUCCCCAAUCCAUCUUCUAAGAUCUAGAUCUUUCUUUUUCUCAUAUCUACAGAUCGCAGUCAAAGUGCACCCAUGGUUAUAGUCCUUUAAGCUUAAACCGGGAGAAAAGGUAUGCUUUCUCAAUUAUGACUUCCUAUUCUCCAUCGAUUUCUGAAGUAUGUGUUUUAUGCUCAGAUGUGUGAUUUCUUCUCUUUAAGAAUUGUUUAAUCAGUUCAACUUUUGCACAACGUGAUACUCAUGUUUGAUUUUGUUAGUUUACAAUAUGUUUGUUGGUUCAGGGUUUUCACAUUUUACCUUUUUCCAGCUUACCAAGGGUUGUGGAUAAACUUUACUUUUUGCUUAAAUUUUUAUGAGUUGGAUUUUUUAUCACCGAGAUGUUGGUUGUAUACUAAUUUUGAAAAUCUUUCUUCUAAUUUGGUUACAUGAUUUUUGAUCGCAAGUCAAUUGCAAGGGAAGAAGUCUUGGCCAUUUUGUUCUUUAUUUUGGCAGUCCAGUUAGAGAAAAUGUGGCAGACCAACAAGUCUUGUAGAAGACCAAAUAAGGCUAAUAUGGCUCUCUCUCUCUCUCUCUCUAGGUCUUUUGUGUGUAGGACCUGUUAAUAUGUGUCCUUAUGGGAUCAAAGUUGGUGGCAUGGUGCUUUCGAUAAAGUUUUGGGUUAUGUUCUAUUUUGAAUGCAAGUUUCACUCUGGAAUGGAUUUUGGGUAAACAAAUGAAUCUUUUUGUUAUUGUCCAACAAAACAUGGGAGUCUUAAAGUACGCUAAUGGGAAUAUUUUAGCUUUACCUACGCCCAGACCGUUUUUCUAUUUCUCCCUUUUUUGGUCUUCAAUAGUUAUCUGGUUGGAUAUUUUCACAUUUUGAUUAUAUUUUUCUUGUGGCUUUCUGUUUAGAGGGAUUAUUGUGUUAAAUUAAAUUCAUGGAUGGGAGGCAAUAGUGAUGCAGAAAUCAAGUCCAUGGAGAGGAUUAAAGUUGAAAAUUGUGAUGAUAUGCAAAUCAUUUGAGAGGGGAAAUUGUAUGUUAUCCCGGUAAGUGCACAUUUAGACUAUGGAUUUUGAUGGUUAUAUUCUUUUUUUUUAUUAUUAUUAACAUAUGUAAUGCAAUGUAGUGAUAUUUUUUUUCAGGUAAUAGCUUUGCUUAUGGAUAUCCAACAUCAAAUACUAGAGAACUGUGGAAUCAAUUUAAUGCAGCCCAUUGAUUUAUUAAUGCACAUGGGAUAUUUAAAUUUCCUUAUAUGUAUAGGAUCAUAGGAAAUUUCAUUAAGACAUGGCGGAAAGUGAAUUAUUUUGUGCAUGGUUUUUAUAUUCCUAAGUUAAUAUAUACAUACACGAUCCAUGUGGGUGUUAUUCAUAUCCUAAAUAUUCAUAAUUGUUAUAUUAUAUAUGUUUGAAAUCUUAUUUUUGUUAAAUACAAAAUUGUAACUUUUGUUUUUCAUCAAGAAGUUUACUUACUUUUGCAAUCUAUGUUUCACAAUAAAAUCUUAAAUUCCGGUCUCUACUAAAUUUAGAUGAGAAAUCCUAACUUUAAUUAACAUCACCUUAUUAUAUUAAUAACCACAAUUCAAUAUUUUGUACAAGUUUGCUAAAUUUGAAA
Molecule: long non-coding RNA, 2185 nt
Filed under: Lactuca sativa (garden lettuce)
Lineage: Eukaryota; Viridiplantae; Streptophyta; Magnoliopsida; Asterales; Asteraceae
Description: long non-coding RNA (LSAT_LNC000751)
Source: RNAcentral